CUUAGAUAUGGAGAUAUGGUGCCCAAGACAAUUGCAGGGAAGAUUUUUGGCUCCAUCUGCUCCCUGAGUGGUGUCUUGGUCAUUGCCCUGCCAGUCCCUGUGAUCGUGUCCAAC
Molecule: non-coding RNA, 114 nt
Organism: Canis lupus familiaris (dog)
Lineage: Eukaryota; Metazoa; Chordata; Mammalia; Carnivora; Canidae
Source: Rfam